UACACAGCUGUCAGUUAGUUUCUACUUGGUAUGUGUUUGUUAUGUAAGUACCUAGGUAGGUAUGUACAAUUGUACACGUUAGAAAGUCGCAAGUCAGUGAUUUCAUCUUUAUUGAUACGGAGACUAGUUAAAAGUGCUGUAUUCCUUGUAUCCAAGAAUUGAGAUCCGCUGAAUCUGGACAGUCAAGUGUGCCUUCUGACGCUUCAUCAGGUGCUAGAAGUCUUCGAGCUGCUAUUUGACCUGAUAAAUAAGCACCAUGUGCCGUAGAAUAAUAGCUGCUGUGUGUAUGCUCUCCGGCAAAGAGUAGAACAGGCUGAAAAAGAAAUUCACCACGAUACUUUUUUUUUACGUUCUGCAUUGAAUACAAGGAAAUCUCUCGAAUAUUUUUUAAGUAAUGUUUCAAAAUUAAAUAUGACAAUAGAAAAUAUGCAUAUUUUUUUCUUUAUAAUUCAAUGUUUACAUAAGUGUUAUAAGUAAUACACAUUGAUGAAAAUGUUCAAUUAGAUAUUUAAAAAUACAAGUUUGAUUUGUUUGGCAUUAAAUAUUACAUUAAAUUUUAUAUAGAUUUUUAUCCACUUUUAAUAAAUAAUUCGGCAGUGCUCUUUUGGCAAUAAAAAAAGGACUUAAAAGUAGGCAAAUACAUAAAUGACGAGAUAGUGUUUCCAUUUCUUGAUCAGAAGUGUAUAUUGUUAUGAAAUCAAAUAUAAAUAUAAAAACAAUGGUUCUACUUUUUACAAUUAACCAUUACCUACCUAAUGAUUGAUUACCUAAUGAAUGGGUAGAAUGGUCUGAAAUAGUUAAAAGUGAACACUAUUAUUUAACCGGUUUUUACCAUGGUUUCUAGUUUCAAUCAGUUCUCAAUAUUGUGGCGUUGUUGCAAGUAUCACGAUCAUGGGGUAUACUGAAGAUUACUAGUAAAAAUAAUGAGACGCUUAAUCCUGCCAUUGAUAAAUACAUUCCAGAAUCCAGAACUAAUCAUUACAUUAAGUUGCCCAAGCCACAACUAUUAUGCAACCAUUAAUUAUUAUUAACGGUGUUAAUUCGAGGUGUGAAAGGCUAUUUGGUUUAAGCGACAUUUUUGGAACUUUACAGGAGAGCCAUUUCAAGUUUAAAAUUUGGAAAACAUAUCAUAACACGAAACUUCUUAACCUAAUUGAUUGGAGUAAGCUUAAUUGAAGUUCAAUUAAAAACAUGGUAAUGUUGAUGCUAAUACCAAAUAAAACGCACCUCUAGUUACAAAGAUAAAUGUCGUGUAAUAAGCGAAAUGAGUCGUCUAUUAUCAAAGUCGACUCAAAUGUCGUCUUUCACCCCUUGAUAUGUGGAUACAGAUAGUCUUGAAGACAGUUUUGUAUUGAAUACUAACCAGAGUUGACCUCGGCAGCCCCAUCUACGUCUCUGAGAGUGUAUCCUACGCGGGGCACACAUAUGCGGACGAGAUUAGAAGAGAGUCGUUUUGACUCGCUCCUUUGUGUAUCCCGAAACCCAAAAAGAUUAAAAUUAACUAACAAAUAAAUAAUAUUAUUUUCACUGUGGUCUCGUA
Long non-coding RNA from Bombyx mori (domestic silkworm), 1540 nucleotides. RefSeq lists it as uncharacterized. The transcript is spliced from 4 exons. NCBI's taxonomy places the organism in Eukaryota, Metazoa, Arthropoda, Insecta, Lepidoptera, Bombycidae. The record is from RefSeq and is a predicted model, not a curated record.